This 225-nucleotide unclassified non-coding RNA is filed under the name uncultured fungus. Its description in RNAcentral is "sequence contains ITS1, 5.8S rRNA gene". The stretch from base 177 to 225 matches the Rfam family "5.8S ribosomal RNA", at positions 1 to 49 of the family's 154-position model. Lineage: Eukaryota; Fungi. The record is from RNAcentral.
UCUCCGUUGGUGAACCAGUGGAGGGAUCAUUGCUGGAAGCGUCUCACGGCGCACCCAGAUACCCUUUGUGAACCAAACCUGUUGCUUCGGGGGCGACCCUGCCGUUCGCGGCGCGGCGCCCCCGGGGGAAAUCAAACACUGCGUCAAUUUGUGUCGGAGUACCUGUUAAUAAACAAAACUUUCAACAACGGAUCUCUUGGUUCUGGCAUCGAUGAAGAACGCAGC